GCAGCAUGAUUUCCAUCCCUUUAAACAUAGUUAAAAGAGAUAGAAGAAAAAAAAACACAGAUUUCUAAUAUCCUUAAACUCUAUAAGCACGGAGGACUAAUGUGACCAGUAAUAGUUUGAAUCAUUAUUAAGGAAUCUCCUUCAAAAAUAACCUCUGAGAAACCACCAUGAUAAGUUAAGAGGAUUGCUUCUCUGCAAGCAAGACAUUCCAGCACAAGAGGAUCAAAAAAAUCAUUGAAAACCUUGCAUCGCCAUAUUAUUAGGGAGCCAUUCUCGUCUCGUGCAAUCCCUGUUGUGGCACCUCCAAGAUUCUUCUUUUUGACGGCUGCAUUAAAAUUAAACUUAACAACACCUUGAGGGGAGGGUUCAACUAGAUUGGCACUGGUAAACUGGGAGCAGGUUGUUGCACAAUAUUAACUUCAUUAAAAUCCUUGUAGUGCAUAGAAGCUGCCGAGAUGAUGGAGGAAGCCAACUCCCUUAAGUCACUGAAGAGAAGCUUAUUUCUGCU
RNAcentral lists this long non-coding RNA (508 nucleotides) under Manihot esculenta (cassava). RNAcentral's name for it is "long non-coding RNA (MESC_LNC011569)". The record is from RNAcentral. Lineage: Eukaryota; Viridiplantae; Streptophyta; Magnoliopsida; Malpighiales; Euphorbiaceae.